GACGAAGGGGGCUAGCGUUGUUCGGAAUUACUGGGCGUAAAGCGAGUGUAGGUGGUUGUCCAAGUUGGAUGUGAAAGCCUUGAGCUCAACUCAAGAAAUGCAUUCAGGACUGGAUGGCUAGAGGACCGGAGAGGAUAGUGGAAUUCCCAGUGUAGUGGUGAAAUACGUAGAGAUUGGGAAGAACACCAGUGGCGAAGGCGGCUAUCUGGACGGUUUCUGACACUAAGACUCGAAAGCGUGGGGAGCAAACAGGAUUAGAUACCCUGGUAGUCCACGCCGUAAACGAUGGGUGCUAGACGUUGGCGAGCUUGCUCGUCAGUGUCGCAGCUAACGCGUUAAGCACCCCGCCUGGGGAGUACGGCCGCAAGGUUG
RNAcentral lists this ribosomal RNA (372 nucleotides) under uncultured bacterium. RNAcentral describes it as "bacterial SSU rRNA". It matches the Rfam family "Bacterial small subunit ribosomal RNA", at positions 524 to 896 of the family's 1533-position model. The record is from RNAcentral.